This 329-nucleotide ribosomal RNA is filed under the name uncultured bacterium. RNAcentral's name for it is "bacterial SSU rRNA". It matches the Rfam family "Bacterial small subunit ribosomal RNA", at positions 471 to 793 of the family's 1533-position model. The record is from RNAcentral.
GACGUUACCUACAGAAGAAGCACCGGCUAACUCCGUGCCAGCAGCCGCGGUAAUACGGAGGGGUGCGAGCGUUAAUCGGAAUUACUGGGCGUAAAGCGCAUGCAGGCGGCCUGUUAAGUCAGAUGUGAAAGACCCGGGGCGUCAACCUCGGAAUAGCAUUUGAAACUGGCAGACUAGAGUACUGUAGAGGGGGGUAGGAAUUUCAGGUGUAGCGGUGAAAUGCGUAGAGAUCUGAAGGAAUACCGGUGGCGAAGGCGGCCCCCUCGGACAGAUACUGACACUCAGAUGCGAAAGCGUGGGGAGCAAACAGGAUUAGAUACCCCUGGUAG